CAAGUGGUCCUUAUGCAGUGCAAGU
RNAcentral lists this non-coding RNA (25 nucleotides) under Rattus norvegicus (Norway rat). The record is from RNAcentral. Lineage: Eukaryota; Metazoa; Chordata; Mammalia; Rodentia; Muridae.